UCGACUGGCAGUCAGCGUCGCGACGCCCACGAGCAAGCAGCUUGCGGCAAUUCGACGUCAGGUUAAGCAACACGUGGUUUUGCUCGAGUAGAACGUGGCGGAUACGAGAGUAAUUCUUGGGUUUUUCGAUCGGUCCUUUUUUUAAUUCUGGUCAAAAUGCUAAAUACGAAAAAGUCCUCGUAACGCGCGAACGAUUUCGGAAAAACCGCGUAUAUUAUACGUUAUUUUUCUACGAUGUGGAACAAAUUGUGUCACAGAAGUAGAAGACGAAAAUUGGUAAAAUUACGCGAAAGGAGAUCGGCUUGAGUGACUUUCGCGUGACGUGUUUGCAGACGAAGAGAUAAAUAGUCAAUGCGAUUUUACUUCUUGGCUAUUGCCAUCAUCGGUAACAGCAGGAGCAGCAGCGACAGGAAUUUCCCAUCAGUGAAAUUUACUGCGCUGCAUUUAAAUUCCCAUCCAACUACGUGCAUCUCACUCUGUGAAUACCUUUGCGUUUUAAACGAGAACAAAAGUAUCGAAACAUCUCUGAAUCGAACACAUAGAUUGAUUUUCUACUGUGCAAAACUUGGCUCCAGAUUUACAGAACACCUACUUCCCUAUUAUUCUCCAGUGAAUCUAAUUUAAAGUUUCUCAACUGUGAGAUGUAUUCGUUUGCCAAUGCGGUUUGAAGAAAUCGAGAUGCAAUCCGGUAUAAUUUAUCAAUACGCUUCACUUGUAGUAUAUGGGACGUACAAGUUGAUAAACUCAAUAUGAACGCUAUAGAUUUACAAAUAAAAAAAUUCAAUCACAAAUCAUUUCCCGAUUAUUUGAAAAACGUUCAACAAUAAUCAAUUAUUAUUAUCAUACGCGUGGUGAGCAAUAAACUUCCAUGGUAGCCUCAAAAAUAUUAAUUGUUCCUGUUUUUGAUACUAAUGUCACAGAAUAAAGCUUGCCUGAUGUGGCACAUUUUCAAUUCAUAUUAACGGAGUUUUAUGGAGAGACUCUUGCACGUUGAAUAGGCUAAUUAAAUAAGCUAAUUAAGCAAUUUAUACUAUAUUACGUCCAGGUCAACGAACGGUGGAAUGUGAUUUUGUUCCGGUAAAGUGCACCGUGACGAAAAAGCGGGAUGAGAUUAUAGAUAUCGAAACGAUAGCCAAAUAAAGUAACGCGUUCUCCUGGUUCAAACUCCUUUGUUAAAUAUCGGUGAUCGAUCGUUCGCAAUCUAAAAACCAUUUGAUUUGACAGUUUGUGUGUUGUAGAAUACAGAGGUGAAAAGAGAAGGAAAAGAAAGCAAAAACUCUAGCCGAAGAUUGAGAUCGAUUUUAACCAUGUGUACGUGAAAUGAAAAGCCGGUGAAUAAAAGAAAAAAAAGGGAGAUUCGAAUCGACGAGGCACGCGCGAUAAUGAUAAACAUUCAGUUUGCCGAGCGUAAACCUGUUGAAGAAGAAGUGAGCACGUCGAUGCGCUUCGAGAAGACAAGGGGUCGAGGCGGUUGACGAGGGUAGGCGGAAAGAGAAGGCUUCGAUAAGAAGAGGGCAAAGACGAUCGGAGAUAAAGAAAUAACAACGAUGUCGUGCGAGAAGGCGUCGCGACGCCUCAGAUCCUUAAUAGUUAAGGCGAGGAGACUCGGGGUGACGGCUGAGGAAGUCGCCGCUUUACCUACGGCCAGGAAACUCGCUGCGCCAAAGACGGCGAACUUCUGGUCCGUCGGAUUCGCUCUGAUCACGCUACUCGGUGCCGGCAUCCUCCUUAUCCUUAUCUGCGCCCCUUGCCUGGCGAAGAGGGCGGCGCGCGACGUUCGAGUGUUUCCUUAAUAAACGCCACCCUCGAACCCCGCGCCCUCAACCAGAAGGAGAACUUUGACAAGGUUAGACCGCGCAGAUUUGCCGCAGCUCGAAUUUACGAUGGAAGGUUUUGACAGCCUAAAGGCGUACAGUUCCAAAUCCGAGGAUUAUAAUGGAUUGAAAAUUAAUUAAGUGGACCCGUGACAUUUGAUUUAAGGAAUUAUUUACUCUUGUACUAUACUGACUAAGAAAAUUAUAAUGGGAUUAUAAAUUUAUGGGCUGUGCAAAGCCGGUAUGCGAGUUUAUAAUUUAACUGAAAAAUGUUUGGUACUUUUUGCUUUUCUUCUGCUAUUGUUAUUAUUAUGAGUAUUAUCACCACUAUCGUUAUCAUGUAAAAAAAAAGGAACUGUAAUAAAGACUGUAUGUACGUACGUAACAUAUGUAGAAAACGUAAAAUUUAA
Long non-coding RNA from Neodiprion fabricii, 2224 nucleotides. RefSeq lists it as uncharacterized. NCBI's taxonomy places the organism in Eukaryota, Metazoa, Arthropoda, Insecta, Hymenoptera, Diprionidae. The record is from RefSeq and is a predicted model, not a curated record. The transcript has 3 exons.